CUUAUCAAGAGUGGUGGAGGGAUCGGCCCAAUGAAACCCGGCAACCUGCAAAAAGAAGACGUUGCAAGGUGCCAAAUCCGGCGGUAGUAUCGUAAAGAUGAG
Molecule: non-coding RNA, 102 nt
Filed under: uncultured Butyricicoccus sp.
Lineage: Bacteria; Bacillati; Bacillota; Clostridia; Eubacteriales; Butyricicoccaceae
Description: SAM riboswitch (S box leader)
Rfam family: SAM riboswitch aptamer (S box leader)
About the family: The SAM riboswitch is found upstream of a number of genes which code for proteins involved in methionine or cysteine biosynthesis in Gram-positive bacteria. The SAM riboswitch acts at the level of transcription termination control.
Source: RNAcentral